This 497-nucleotide ribosomal RNA is filed under the name uncultured bacterium. RNAcentral's name for it is "partial 16S ribosomal RNA". It matches the Rfam family "Bacterial small subunit ribosomal RNA", at positions 28 to 507 of the family's 1533-position model. The record is from RNAcentral.
GAUGAACGCUGGCGGCGUGCCUAAUACAUGCAAGUCGAGCGAACAGAUGAUGAGCUUGCUCCUCUGACGUUAGCGGCGGACGGGUGAGUAACACGUGGAUAACCUACCUAUAAGACUGGGAUAACUUCGGGAAACCGGAGCUAAUACCGGAUAAUAUAUUGAACCGCAUGGUUCAAUAGUGAAAGACGGUUUUGCUGUCACUUAUAGAUGGAUCCGCGCCGCAUUAGCUAGUUGGUAAGGUAACGGCUUACCAAGGCAACGAUGCGUAGCCGACCUGAGAGGGGGAUCGGCCACACUGGAACGGGGACACGGUCCAGACUCCUACGGGAGGCAGCAGUAGGGAAUCUUCCGCAAUGGGCGAAAGCCUGACGGAGCAACGCCGCGUGAGUGAUGACGGUCUUCGGAUCGUAAAACUCUGUUAUUAGGGAAGAACAAAUGUGUAAGUAACUAUGCACGUCUUGACGGUACCUAAUCAGAAAGCCACGGCUAACUACGUG